UCUUUUCUCUCUCAUCUCCAUCUCCCUACCACUGCUCUCUUAUUCCUCUCUCUUUUCCCCCACCAUCCCUCCCCCUUACUCCGAUUCUCUCCCUCUACCCCUUUGUACCUCCCUCCUACUUCGACCCUCUCCCUCUCCCCCCACAGUCUCUUUUCCUUGCUUGCAUCGACCAAAUUGCUUCUAAAUUAUUUGCUACAAAUUGUCAAUUGAAAUGCUCCCAAAAUAGUUGCUGCCCACCGUUUAUACCAGUUGCCAUUUGAUCCAAUUUCAAUCAUCAAAUAGACUAAAUAGUUUACUAAAAAGCCUUCAAUGUGCUUUAAAUAAGCUGCUUCGUUGACCUGCUUGCUUGCUCUCUAAUUCACUUUCGGUCGAACAAGUAUUUGCUACCCAUUGCACCGACCAUUGCUUCAAAAAGCCUGCUGGUUAGCCAAAUUUCUUCCACCGAUCAGCCUUGAUAGAGUGGCUACUAAUUACUGUUCCUUCUCACCGAUUGCUCCAAUUAAUUGCUUCAAAUUGAUGUCGUAAUUUCAUCCAAUUUGCUGCCCCAAAUGCUUGAACUUGUUGCUAGAUAUUUCUUUUUUCCUGUAAGAAAAAUUUAGGAGAGGGUUAGCAGAGGAAAAGGUACGGUGGGAGAGUGAAGGGGAGGGAUGGUGAGGAAGAGGGAGAGGGAUGAGAAAGCGGUGGAAGGGGGAAGGAGAC
Molecule: long non-coding RNA, 699 nt
Filed under: Gossypium barbadense (sea-island cotton)
Lineage: Eukaryota; Viridiplantae; Streptophyta; Magnoliopsida; Malvales; Malvaceae
Description: long non-coding RNA (GBAR_LNC000313)
Source: RNAcentral